CUACGCACUCCUACGGGAGGCAGCAGUGGGGAAUAUUGCACAAUGGGCGCAAGCCUGAUGCAGCCAUGCCGCGUGUAUGAAGAAGGCCUUCGGGUUGUAAAGUACUUUCAGCAGUGAGGAAGGUGGGUAUGUUAAUAGCAUACUCAUUUGACGUUAGCUGCAGAAGAAGCACCGGCUAACUCCGUGCCAGCAGCCGCGGUAAUACGGAGGGUGCGAGCGUUAAUCGGAAUUACUGGGCGUAAAGCGCAUGCAGGUGGUUUGUUAAGUCAGAUGUGAAAGCCCGGGGCUCAACCUCGGAAUUGCAUUUGAAAACUGGCAAACUAGAGUACUGUAGAGGGGGGUAGAAUUUCAGGUGUAGCGGUGAAAUGCGUAGAGAUCUGAAGGAAUACCGGUGGCGAAGGCGGCCCCCUGGACAGAUACUGACACUCAGAUGCGAAAGCGUGGGGAGCAAACAGGAUUAGAUACCCUGGUAG
RNAcentral lists this ribosomal RNA (473 nucleotides) under uncultured bacterium. RNAcentral describes it as "bacterial SSU rRNA". It matches the Rfam family "Bacterial small subunit ribosomal RNA", at positions 329 to 793 of the family's 1533-position model. The record is from RNAcentral.